This 441-nucleotide ribosomal RNA is filed under the name uncultured bacterium. RNAcentral's name for it is "partial 16S ribosomal RNA". It matches the Rfam family "Bacterial small subunit ribosomal RNA", at positions 338 to 795 of the family's 1533-position model. The record is from RNAcentral.
CCUACGGGUGGCAGCAGUGGGGGAUAUUGCACAAUGGGGGAAACCCUGAUGCAGCGACGCCGCGUGAGUGAAGAAGGAUUUCGGUAUGUAAAGCUCUAUCAGCAGGGAAGAAAAAAGACGGUACCUUACUCAGAAGCCCCGACUAACUACGUGCCAGCAGCCGCGGUAAUACGUAGGGGGCAAGCGUUAUCCGGAUUUACUGGGUGUAAAGGGAACGUAGACGGGAAUAGAAGUCGGAAGUGAAAUACCCGGGCUCAACCUGGGAAUUGCAUUGGAAACUGGGUGGCUGGAGUGCUGGAGAGGUAAGCGGAAUUCCUAGUGUAGCGGUGAAAUGCGUAGAUAUUAGGAGGAACACCAGUGGCGAAGGCGGCUUACUGGACAGGAACUGACGUUGAGGCUCGAAAGCGUGGGGAGCAAACAGGAUUAGAUACCCCUGUAGUC